This 2372-nucleotide long non-coding RNA is filed under the name Homo sapiens (human). RNAcentral's name for it is "HSALNT0112420". The record is from RNAcentral. Lineage: Eukaryota; Metazoa; Chordata; Mammalia; Primates; Hominidae.
AAAACUGGCAGUUACAGGUCUCACCCAGCUCCCGCACAGCCCAAAGGGCUGUUCUCACUCCCACCGUGGCCCUCCCUGAAACAGCACCAAGUUUGUUUCCAGACAGCGGCUGAGCAGGGCUGAGAGCUUUCCUCAGUCUACCAGCCUUCCAGCUGAUAAAGCAAGCAGGGCUUCCAGGUUUCAUGUCUCCCUGCCUGCCACAGCUUCUGUGCUUUGUCUGCACUCCCAAUUCACCCCUUCCUCUGGGUUCUGUCCAGGAAACUUCAUGCUUGGUCAAAAUUGUUACAAAGUUCAGCUGGAAGUUUCCUUCUCCCUGUGUUUUUUUCCCAAUUCCUCUGGCAGCCCUCCCCAAGGACUCCUGUGAGACAAAGUCAGAAAUGACUUCCCUGGGGACUGAGAGAGACAACAGGGCUCUUCUCGAUGCUUCUUCUACCCCUGUAUUUUGCUCAGCUCUCUGAAGUUAUCUCAGUUCCAGCUGCCUCGGCAACAUGGCCUCAUGGUUUUUGGAUUUAAUGGGAGAGCUGGUGUCAACAACUUUUUCAAUCCAGAUGCUCUGUGAUCUGUGUGCUUUGAAGGAAAGGAGAGGAAGUGCUGUGUGUUUCAACUGAAGGACUCUAUUGGGGAGUUAGCAGACUUGGAAAACUGCAAGAGGAGAAGAGUAAGAGGACUCUCAAAACAUUAAGAUUCUAUUGAAGCAAAUGUGAAUGUUUAUUAAUUGUCACAUUCUUUUGAAGCCUUGAAGCCCAGUAGCAAAAAGCAUAGGCGUUGACUGUGAUUAAAAUUUCAUGGCACCAUUUAACCGGAUAAGAGAAGGACCUAAGGUGGGAGAGCUACACUCAUGAGGUACUAGGUCACUGAUUCUCAACAGCAUCUCUGUACCAGUCACACUGGCCUUAUAGAACAAAUGAGUGACCUGAGAUAUUACAGCUUGUAAGAGGUGAAGGAGGGGAACUACUUGAGCAAAAGGCCCAGUGGAUUUGAGCCAAGUUCCAGAAGAGCAAUGAGAAUAUCAUAACCUCUCAGGAGGCUAUACAGGAAGCAUGAUGCUGGUGUCUGCUCAGCUUCUGGGGAGAACUCAGGAAACUUACAAUCAUGGCAGAAGGCAAAGAGGAAGCAAGUGCAUCUUACAUGGCUGGAGCAAGAUCGUGAGAGAGUGGGGAGGUGCUGCACACUUUUAAACAACCAAAUCUCGUUGUUUUGCCACAACACCAUCAAGGAGAAUGAUGUUAAACCAUGAGAAACCACCCCUAGACCCACCAGGCCCUACCUCCAACACUGGGGAUUACAGUUUGACAGGAGAUUUGGGUGGGGACACAGAUCCAAGCCAUAUCAUUACAUAUUUCUUUAUUUCUGUUUGUAUAAACUCUGGUUUUCUAUUUUAUUAAAUAAAUUAAAAUCCAUUACUAUUAUUGUCUAUUCUGAUACUCAAAUUGGCAAAGAUUUGACCAGGGCCAGCUCCUUUGUGCUGGCUUCUUUGUCCUCUUGACAUGUCUUUACUCUUUGAUACUUAUUUUAUGGCAUAACGGAAGAUUCAGACUCAACUCUUAGUUUUUUUGCCCCAUGCCUGGAAUCAAAUAUUUCUACUAGGAACCUUGGUUCUUUUAAAAGGAAAAUGUUUUUUAGUAUGCAAAAUCUGGUUACACUCAUGACUAUGUAUGCAACACUGCUUCCAGGCUCUCUCAAUGGAUAGGACUAGGGAAUAUAUGCAAGUUCACAAACACACACACACACACACUCACUUGCAUCUAUAUUUAUAACUCUCUCCAUAUAUACUGGAAACCAUAAGUUCACACUGAAAUUUCCAAUUCCAAUCUAACACCACAGAGUUCAUUCUAGUUUUCUCUAUUUCUAGAUUUGUAACUCCCUUCUCUGACAGUGAAAAACAGGCUCCCAUUAUUCUAAAUAUUUUUACUUAUUUGAUGAAUUUUCCUGUAUGUAACUGAUCUCAUUCCUGCCACUGCCCUCUUCCCCCAAGAAUAUCCUUCUGCUAAGGUAUAGCAAAGAUUAUGUGCUGGAAACUUAAUGCCCAAUGCAAUAGUGUUGAGAGGUGGGAUGUUUAUGAGGUGAUUAAGUCAUGAGGGCUCUUCCCUCAUGAAUGAAUUAAUGCUGAUAUAAUGAGAAUGGGUUCUUGAGAAGAAGGAUGAGUCUGGUCUCCUUCCUCUCGUUCUUUCCCUCUGUUGCCUUUCUAUCUUCUGCUAUGGGAUGACACAGCAUGAAGGCCCUCCCUAUAUGCCAGUGCCAUGCUCUUGGACUUUCCAGUCUUCAGAAUUUUAAGCCAAAUAAACUUAUACUGUUUAUAAAUUACUCAGUGUGUGGCAUUCUGUUAUAUCACCACAAAAUGAAUGAAGAUACCUCCUUAACACCACUCACAG